This 562-nucleotide ribosomal RNA is filed under the name Acinetobacter haemolyticus. Its description in RNAcentral is "bacterial SSU rRNA". It matches the Rfam family "Bacterial small subunit ribosomal RNA", at positions 141 to 699 of the family's 1533-position model. The record is from RNAcentral. Lineage: Bacteria; Pseudomonadati; Pseudomonadota; Gammaproteobacteria; Moraxellales; Moraxellaceae.
GGACAACUUUCCGAGGGAAUGCUUAUACCGCAACGCCCUACGGGGGAAGGCAGGGGAUCUUCAGACCUUGUCCUCUUUGAUGAGCCUCCGUCGGAUUAUCUCUUUGGUGGGGUAAAGGCCUACCCCGGCGACAAUAUGUAUAGCGUCUCAGAGGAUGAUCCCCCACACUGGGACUGAGACACACCCCCCACUCCUACACGAGGGGCCACUGGGGAAUAUUGGACAAUGGGCGGAAAACUGAUCCACCCAUGCCCCGCGUGUGAAGAAAGCCUUUUGGUUGUAAAGCACUUUAAGCGAUGAGGAGGCUCUGACGGUUAAUACCCUUGAUGACUGGACUUUACUCGUGCAAUAAGCACCGGCUAUAUCUGUGCCGCCAGCCUUGUUCAUAUUUACGGUGCGAGCGUUAAUCGUAUUUACUGGUCUUAAAGCGAGGUUAAGCCCCUGAUUUAAUCUGAUGUGAAAUCCCUGAGCUUAACUUACUAAUUGGAUUCAAUACUGGUCGGAUUUCCUAUGGGAGAGGAUGGUAGAAUUCCGAGUGUAACGAACAAAUGCGUAGAGAUCU